This 419-nucleotide unclassified non-coding RNA is filed under the name soil metagenome. RNAcentral's name for it is "partial contains 5.8S ribosomal RNA, internal transcribed spacer 2, and large subunit ribosomal RNA". The stretch from base 1 to 120 matches the Rfam family "5.8S ribosomal RNA", at positions 35 to 154 of the family's 154-position model. The record is from RNAcentral.
GAUGAAGAACGCAGCGAAAUGCGAUAAGUAAUGUGAAUUGCAGAAUUCAGUGAAUCAUCGAAUCUUUGAACGCACCUUGCGCUCCUUGGUAUUCCAAAGAGCAUGCCUGUUUGAGUAUCAUUAAAUUAUCAACUGUACCAAUUUGGUUGCAGAUUGGAUGUGGGAGAUUUUGCAGGCUUUUGAUUUCUCUUUGAGAAAACGGUCAGCUCUCCUGAAAUAUAUUAGCAGUGCCUUUGUUGGUUCAUUAGGUGUGAUAAUUUAUCUACAUCUUCACAUGGUACCUUCAUUUGUGUAAAGGUCAUAUUGCUUCUAAUUGUCUUUGGACAUAAAAAAAAAAAAACAUAUAAUUGUAUGGAAAACUUGAUCUCAAAUCAGGCAGGACUACCCGCUGAACUUAAGCAUAUCCAAUAAGCGGAGGA